RNAcentral lists this RNase P RNA (350 nucleotides) under Candidatus Rothia avicola. Its description in RNAcentral is "Bacterial RNase P class A". It matches the Rfam family "Bacterial RNase P class A". From Rfam's summary of the family: Ribonuclease P (RNase P) is a ubiquitous endoribonuclease, found in archaea, bacteria and eukarya as well as chloroplasts and mitochondria. Lineage: Bacteria; Bacillati; Actinomycetota; Actinomycetes; Micrococcales; Micrococcaceae. The record is from RNAcentral.
GCCCAGGCAAUCGCGUAGCGCACAAACGCUUCGAGGAAAGUCCGGGCUCCACAGCACAGGGUGGUCGAUAACGUCGACUCAGGGUAACCUGCAGGCCAGUGCCACAGAAAACAAACCGCCCCCACCACGGGGUAAGGGUGAAAAGGUGAGGUAAAAGCUCACCAGUACCGCAGGCGACUGCGGUAGCUCGGUAAACCCCACCCGGAGCAAGGCCAAACAGGGCGCGCUAGUAACCAGUGCGGUGAAGCGCCCGGGUAGGCUGCUUGAACCCGCCGGCAACGGACGGGUCUAGAUGGAUGAUUGCCGCCUGCCUGCGGGUAGGUACAGAACCCGGCUUAUCGGGCGUCCCG